RNAcentral lists this ribosomal RNA (492 nucleotides) under uncultured bacterium. Its description in RNAcentral is "partial 16S ribosomal RNA". It matches the Rfam family "Bacterial small subunit ribosomal RNA", at positions 29 to 507 of the family's 1533-position model. The record is from RNAcentral.
AGUGAACGCUGGCGGUAGGCCUAACACAUGCAAGUCGAACGGCAGCACAGUAAGAGCUUGCUCUUACGGGUGGCGAGUGGCGGACGGGUGAGGAAUACAUCGGAAUCUACUUUUUCGUGGGUGAUAACGUAGGGCAACUUACGCUAAUACCGCAUACGAUCUACGGGUGAAAGCAGGGGAGCUUCGGACCUUGCGCGAUUGAAUGAGCCGAUGUCGGAUUAGCUAGUUGGCUGGGUAAAGGCCCACCAAGGCGACGAUCCGUAGCUGGUCUGAGAGGAUGAUCAGCCACACUGGAACUGAGACACGGUCCAGACUCCUACGGGAGGCAGCAGUGGGGAAUAUUGGACAAUGGGCGCAAGCCUGAUCCAGCCAUACCGCGUGGGUGAAGAAGGCCUUCGGGUUGUAAAGCCCUUUUGUUGGGAAAGAAAAGCAGCAGGUUAAUACCCCGCUGUUCUGACGGUACCCAAAGAAUAAGCACCGGCUAACUUCGUG